RNAcentral lists this ribosomal RNA (253 nucleotides) under uncultured bacterium. RNAcentral describes it as "partial 16S ribosomal RNA". It matches the Rfam family "Bacterial small subunit ribosomal RNA", at positions 524 to 776 of the family's 1533-position model. The record is from RNAcentral.
UACGUAGGGGGCAAGCGUUGUCCGGAAUCAUUGGGCGUAAAGAGCGUGUAGGCGGCUUGGCAAGUCUGACGUGAAAUCCCGCGGCUCAACCGCGGUAGGUCGUUGGAAACUGCCUCGCUAGAGUCCGGAAGAGGAGAGCGGAAUUCCUGGUGUAGCGGUGGAAUGCGCAGAUAUCAGGAAGAACACCUAUGGCGAAGGCAGCUCGCUGGGACGGUACUGACGCUGAGGCGCGAAAGCGUGGGGAGUGAACAGG